RNAcentral lists this transfer RNA (69 nucleotides) under Mycomya sp. WQY006. RNAcentral describes it as "tRNA-Gln". The record is from RNAcentral. Lineage: Eukaryota; Metazoa; Arthropoda; Insecta; Diptera; Mycetophilidae.
UAUAAUUUGAUGUAUGUUGCAUAAAAAUUUUUGAUAUUUUUUGAAACAGUUAAAUUCUGUUAAUUAUAA